This 449-nucleotide ribosomal RNA is filed under the name uncultured bacterium. RNAcentral describes it as "partial 16S ribosomal RNA". It matches the Rfam family "Bacterial small subunit ribosomal RNA", at positions 29 to 523 of the family's 1533-position model. The record is from RNAcentral.
AGCGAACGCUGGCGGCAGGCCUAACACAUGCAAGUCGAACGGAUCCUUCGGGAUUAGUGGCGGACGGGUGAGUAACACGUGGGAACGUGCCCUUUGGUUCGGAACAACUCAGGGAAACUUGAGCUAAUACCGGAUGUGCCCUUCGGGGGAAAGAUUUAUCGCCAUUGGAGCGGCCCGCGUCUGAUUAGCUAGUUGGUGAGGUAAAGGCUCACCAAGGCGACGAUCAGUAGCUGGUCUGAGAGGAUGAUCAGCCACAUUGGGACUGAGACACGGCACAGACGCCUACGGGAGGCAGCAGUGGGGAAUCUUGCGCAAUGGGCGAAAGCCUGACGCAGCCAUGCCGCGUGAAUGAUGAAGGUCUUAGGAUUGUAAAAUUCUUUCACCGGGGAUGAUAAUGACGGUACCCGGAGAAGAAGCCCCGGCUAACUUCGUGCCAGCCGCCGCCGUAA